This 1290-nucleotide long non-coding RNA is filed under the name Pan troglodytes (chimpanzee). RNAcentral describes it as "long non-coding RNA NONPTRT001498". The record is from RNAcentral. Lineage: Eukaryota; Metazoa; Chordata; Mammalia; Primates; Hominidae.
AAAGGAACCGCAUACCGCAUGGCCAGGAUAUCUGCAAUAGCUGCAAACCACUAUGAGUUCUUUGGAAAGAGACACAAGAAGGUUCGAGGCCACACUAGGCCCAAAGCCAAUGCUGACGGAGACAAUGACAAGCACUCACUGCCUCUGAAGGAAACUCCACGUUAAGCCACGCCCCCACACCUGGGAUUCCAGGGCCUGCUCUUCUCUGCUGGACUCCCAGACUGCAACCCAGACUGCACUGUUAGAAACCAGAGAACUGCAUGAUCAUGAGGAUGAGUGGGUGCCUGUGGGUCUUCAAGACAUGGCAUCCACCUGCCGUGGACCAGUCCAGUCUGCAGGCGUGGACUCUGACAGCUGGCUCCACCCAGUAUUCAGGUCUCAACCUGCACCCUCACUGCCCAGAACGCAGCCCUUUUUUUCUGGGACCUGCCACACUGCCAGAUCUUGUCAUUCCCCUUCCCCAGAGAUGACUACACUGUCCUCCCAGUCCACUGGCUGGGGACCUGUGCUAUGUGGCUGCCUCUCCUGCAUCACAACCAUCUGCCUCCAUCUGGAGCAUCUGACCAGGAUGUACAGCCCACACACCGUUAAGCCUCACACUAAGCUCACUCAAAUUACGAUGUGCAUGGUAAAACCUACCCAAGGUACUUCUGAUUGUCAAGAAAUAAGAAAUAAAAUAAGACGGGCCACAGAAAAGUGGUUAUAAAUUGGUGGCUCCUAAACCGAAAUCGCCUUGAGGCACAGCCUCCUCUGUGGAGCCUUCUUCAAGCUCCCUGGGCUGCUGAGUCAGCCCCUCUCAGAGGGUUCAUGAUAGCACUUUGGAUUCUGUUUGUUUGCAUGUAGCUUUGCCUAGACUGUGACCUGCAUGAGGCAGAACUGGCUCGUCACCUUUACCUCCCCAGGACACAGGUCAAGAGACGAUCGGUAACUGCAUGGUGAAUGAAUGAACUCUCACCUGUCUGGAAAGUGGGCUCUGGCAGGCCUCACACAUACAGAGGAGAGGCAACAAAGCAGCUGCUGAACCGCAAGCUGAGCCCACAAGCUCUCUGUUGCCUUAGGCAAUAAGAUGAGAAAUUACGGAAGCCAAUUAUCUAUUUGUUGUCAUGGCAAUUGCUAGGAGCAGGGUGGGAGGCACAUGACACCAGAAAACAAAAAAUACAACAGACAGUGUAGAUGGGGCUACAGUUGCACAUCAGAGUAUCUGAUUUUGUGUGUAGAGAAUGGGGAAGGACCUACAUCCCUACAUUGAUCUUUUGGGUCACAGCUCGUUCCAAGAAUAUAUAGCAGCAG